CCUACGGGUUGCAGCAGUGGGGAAUAUUGCACAAUGGGGGAAACCCUGAUGCAGCGACGCCGCGUGAGCGAAGAAGUAUUUCGGUAUGUAAAGCUCUAUCAGCAGGGAAGAAAAUGACGGUACCUGAGUCAGAAGCUCCGGCUAAAUACGUGCCAGCAGCCGCGGUAAUACGUAUGGAGCAAGCGUUAUCCGGAUUGACUGGGCGGAAAGGGAGCGUAGGCGGCCUGCCAAGUCUGAUGUGAAAUACCGGGGCUCAACCCCGGGGCUGCAUUGGAAACUGGCAGGCUGGAGUGCCGGAGAGGCAGGCGGAAUUCCUAGUGUAGCGGUGAAAUGCUUAGAUAUCACGAAGAACUCCGAUUGCGAAGGCAGCUUACUAAACUGCCACUGACAUUGAUGCUCGAAAGUGUGGGUAUCAAACAGGAUUAGAUACCCGAGUAGUC
This 440-nucleotide ribosomal RNA is filed under the name uncultured bacterium. Its description in RNAcentral is "partial 16S ribosomal RNA". It matches the Rfam family "Bacterial small subunit ribosomal RNA", at positions 338 to 795 of the family's 1533-position model. The record is from RNAcentral.